UAAAUUCAACAGUAAAAAAAAUCGAAUAUUAUCCCUUAUACCUUUUGCAUAAUGAUUUCACUAGAAUAAUUUAGCAAAAAGAAUUUAAGUUAAAUGACCUGAAACUAGAUGAGCUACUCACAAGCAGCUCUAAGAGCAAACUCAUCUACAUGGCAAAAUAGUGAGAAGACAUAUAGGUAG
Molecule: long non-coding RNA, 180 nt
Organism: Pipistrellus kuhlii (Kuhl's pipistrelle)
Lineage: Eukaryota; Metazoa; Chordata; Mammalia; Chiroptera; Vespertilionidae
Exons: 3
Source: RefSeq, a predicted model, not a curated record